Non-coding RNA from Paramuricea clavata, 350 nucleotides. The record is from the annotation of a GenBank genome assembly. NCBI's taxonomy places the organism in Eukaryota, Metazoa, Cnidaria, Anthozoa, Malacalcyonacea, Plexauridae.
GUUGAACCGCCAGGCGGACCAUACGGAGUCGGGGGGAUGAGUAGUAAGAGGGAUGGACGGCCGCAUUUGCCUGCCCCGAAAACGGUUGCGGGGACCAAGAUGUUCCGGGUGGAUCAAGGGACAACCCCCCUGGAGGCUGGCCAACGAAUGGGUCUUGCUGAAUGGGCUGAGGAGUCUGUACGAGGUGCUGUGAACCAAGGGGGGCGGCCAGGGAUGCCGAAGGAUAACCAUAGCCGACCGCGCUCUGCGAAGGGCCUGGGAACGACACGCUCGGAAAUCCAACAUGGCGGGCAUCUGAAGUCGGGAAUGUAGAAGGAGACGAUAAAUUCGAACCCAAACGAGACAGGAAC